GAUGAACGCUGGCGGCGUGCCUAAUACAUGCAAGUCGAGCGAACGGACGAGAAGCUUGCUUCUCUGAUGUUAGCGGCGGACGGGUGAGUAACACGUGGAUAACCUACCUAUAAGACUGGGAUAACUUCGGGAAACCGGAGCUAAUACCGGAUAAUAUUUUGAACCGCAUGGUUCAAAAGUGAAAGGCGGUCUUGCUGUCACUUAUAGAUGGAUCCGCGCUGCAUUAGCUAGUUGGUAAGGUAACGGCUUACCAAGGCAACGAUGCAUAGCCGACCUGAGAGGGUGAUCGGCCACACUGGAACUGAGACACGGUCCAGACUCCUACGAGAGGCAGCAGUAGGGAAUCUUCCGCAAUGGGCGAAAGCCUGACGGAGCAACGCCGCGUGAGUGAUGAAGGUCUUCGGAUCGUAAAACUCUGUUAUUAGGGAAGAACAUAUGUGUAAGUAACUGUGCACAUCUUGACGGUACCUAAUCAGAAAGCCACGGCUAACUACGUG
RNAcentral lists this ribosomal RNA (497 nucleotides) under uncultured bacterium. RNAcentral describes it as "partial 16S ribosomal RNA". It matches the Rfam family "Bacterial small subunit ribosomal RNA", at positions 28 to 507 of the family's 1533-position model. The record is from RNAcentral.